Molecule: long non-coding RNA, 662 nt
Organism: Gadus morhua (Atlantic cod)
Lineage: Eukaryota; Metazoa; Chordata; Actinopteri; Gadiformes; Gadidae
Exons: 2
Source: RefSeq, a predicted model, not a curated record
AGUUUGACAUUCACAAACAGCUCAACCACCUGCUUCCUCUAUAUAGGCAGCAUUACCUCCGCCCACAUUGUGACGUAUAUGGAAAUUACAAAACCAGCGCGAAUGACUACUUACUAACAACAACAGAGUUAGGAUUAGCCCAACCAACUGAAAUGCUAAUCAAAAAAGUUCUGAGUCUCUGUACUCCUCAGCAGCGGAUAAUGAAAAAGCCUUCUUAAAGACAAAUUUAAAUGUAACCUUGCGUUAUGGCUCCCGCUCCUGGUGAAACACUAGGGCUGUCUCUCAAUUCAGGGGACGCAUCCUUCGAAGGACGCGGUCUAUGAAGGUGUGGCCUUCGUAGACCGUGAAGGCCGGACCGAAGGCUGAACAAACGUUUUUUUGAAUGAGACGGUCUGGCCUACGGAGCAUUUCAAGUUUGUGUGACAAGCCGUUAACAUCCUUUACCUUGCGUGACGACGCGCCGCUUCUGUCACCUAGCAACCCUGACAGCUGCGGUUCAAACUGGACGGCGGAGGAGAAAUAUGGAGCAGUUAUAUCUGGUCUGGACACAAAAACAACCCGGGAGCGCCUGUGACAUUAACUAUUUCCCUAAAGGAUUAGUUAAAGGACUCUAGCCUGGAUAUCCAGACCCACAUCUAAAAAGCUGUAGUGUCUGGCAACGA